Long non-coding RNA from Zeugodacus cucurbitae (melon fly), 1618 nucleotides. RefSeq lists it as uncharacterized. NCBI's taxonomy places the organism in Eukaryota, Metazoa, Arthropoda, Insecta, Diptera, Tephritidae. The transcript is spliced from 4 exons. The record is from RefSeq and is a predicted model, not a curated record.
GAAAGUAAUUUGCUUUGUCGGUAGCUCUUAGUGAAAAUUGUAAAUUUCCAAUUAAAUAAGUUAAAUGUAAUUGAAAACUGUUCAUAAUGUGUGAGUAAUAAGUGUUUGCAAUAGAAAAUUAGUGUAAGAUGUGCGCCGGCAGUGAAAACAAGCGAUUUACGUUGUAAUGCGUAAAAGGGGACUGCCGCCGCCGUAGUUGCGUGCAAGCAAAUGUGUAAAAGUCAAAAUAACUUUAAAUAUAUAAACGUUUUAGGUAUUACAACAACAUAUUGCAGUGCAGCACAUUUUAAAUACAAUAUUGGUGAGUUAAUAAGCAAUGAAAAUGCAGCAGCGCAGUGGUUCUCAUACAAAGUGCCUCAUAUUCUACUCAAUACGUAUAAUUAACAGUUUGUGUGCCAGUGUAAAUAGUGUUGGUUAAUUGCACUGGCUAUUGUAUAUACGCAUUUCUUGCUGUUGUUAAGUUAAACGAAAGUAAAGUUUCGUAAACUAUAUAUUUUGUAAAUUUAAUUAUUCAUUCAUUUAUAAGAUUAAAGUAAAACGAUAUUUUAAUUUAAAUUAUAAACUUUUUUGUUUAAAUAUAAUCUUUAAAAAAAUGCAACACUGUGCAUAGCCAUAACACUGCCGCCAUUUCCACAAUUUGCUGUCAGUUUCCGUCUUCUCGUGCGCGAAAGUUAUUUGCUUUGUCGGUAGCUCUUAGUGAAAAUUGUAAAUUUCCAAUUAAAUAAGUUAAAUGUAAUUAAUAACUGUUCAUAAUGUGUGAGUAAAAAGUGUUUGCGAUAGAAAAUAAGUGUAAGCUGUGCACCGGCAGUGAAAAUAAGCGAUUUACGUUGUAAUGCGUAAAAGGUUACUGCCGCCGCCGUAGUUGCGUGCAAGCAAAUGUGUAAAAGUCAAAAUAACUUUAAAUAUAUAAACGUUUUAGGUAUUACAACAACAUAUUGCAGUUCAGCACACUUUAAAUACAAUAUUGAUCGUCUGUGUUUCUGAUAGUCAAUAUUUAAAUAUGUUUCCGUAAUAUCUUCGACAUCGCGUAAAAAUUUGGCCGGUAACGAGUGAUUUGUGUAAAUAUUCAAUUUCCUGGUUAAUUGUAUGUUAAAUAAUUUAAUUUGUUGAUAAAAUAAAUAUUGUGAUAUAAUUUCAUCGAUUUAUGUAUAGCUUUAGUGCGGUAAAAGUUUUUAAAUAUUUCGAAAGUAAUAUAUGUAAAUAUGUGCAUCAAAUACAUAUAUAUAUAUAUGUAUAUGCAGGAGUUUGUGUGUAUGUGUCUAUAUGUGUAAUAGGAAAUAUAAGUAAAAGCAAUAAUGUAAUAGAAGAGGAGUUCGGCGAUUUUUACCAGCCAUUGUGUGUGAAAGUAAUCCUGGUUGAAUCAGUAAUAAAGCCAAUAAUGUGUGGUGUUUUAUGAAGAAAAAGUUUUUGUGAGUGUUUGUUAGCAAGUGAAAGUGUUUGCAAUUAUAUGAAAGAAUUGUUUUUGUAUUUAAAUAACGGCAGAGUCAUCGAAGAAAUAUCAAACUACAAAUAAAUGGUCAUUUGGUGUGACGACAUCAAUGGUCGUCACUGGCCACGUAAUAUUUAGUUGAUAUAAUUAAUGGCAGAGUUGCCAAAUCGGCAAUAUAAAUGUUGGGGU